AUACAGAGGGUGCAAGCGUUAUUCGGAAUUACUGGGCGUAAAGCGCGCGUAGGCGGAUGAUUAAGUCAGUUGUGAAAGCCCUGGGCUCAACCUAGGAACUGCAUCUGAUACUGGUCGCCUCGAGUUUAAGAGAGGGAAGUGGAAUUCCAGGUGUAGCAGUGAAAUGCGUAGAUAUCUGGAGGAACAUCAGUGGCGAAGGCGACUUCCUGGCUUAAAACUGACGCUGAGGUGCGAAAGCGUGGGUAGCGAACGGGAUUAGAAACCCGAGUAGUCC
Molecule: ribosomal RNA, 274 nt
Filed under: uncultured bacterium
Lineage: Bacteria
Description: partial 16S ribosomal RNA
Rfam family: Bacterial small subunit ribosomal RNA
Source: RNAcentral